GACGAACGCUGGCGGCGUGCCUAAUACAUGCAAGUAGAACGCUGAAGGAGGAGCUUGCUCUUCUGGAUGAGUUGCGAACGGGUGAGUAACGCGUAGGUAACCUGCCUGGUAGCGGGGGAUAACUAUUGGAAACGAUAGCUAAUACCGCAUAAGAGUAGAUGUUGCAUGACAUUUGCUUAAAAGUUGCAAUUGCAUCACUACCAGAUGGACCUGCGUUGUAUUAGCUAGUUGGUGGGGUAACGGCUCACCAAGGCGACGAUACAUAGCCGACCUGAGAGGGUGAUCAGCCACACUGGGACUGAGACACGGCCCAGACUCCUACGGGAGGCAGCAGUAGGGAAUCUUCGGCAAUGGACGGAAGUCUGACCGAGCAACGCCGCGUGAGUGAAGAAGGUUUUCGGAUCGGAAAGCUCUGUUGUAAGAGAAGAACGAGUGUGAGAGUGGAAAGUUCACACUGUGACGGUAUCUUACCAGAAAGGGACGGCUAACUACGUG
Molecule: ribosomal RNA, 495 nt
Filed under: uncultured bacterium
Lineage: Bacteria
Description: partial 16S ribosomal RNA
Rfam family: Bacterial small subunit ribosomal RNA
Source: RNAcentral